AACGAGGCUGCUGUCGCACACUUCACAUCCAAUUUCUAUCUAAAGGCUACUUCCGGCCCUGAUCGUCUGAGUUGAUGCUCUUCUCAUGGGCCUCCCUUAAACAUGCGUGCUUCAUGCCUCUUCCCUGUCGUGUAGGGUGAAGAAUAAAGGCUUGGAGAGGGAAGGGAACUUGCAGGACAAUAAAGACCAGCCUUGUCUUCCCGUGGCUAAGGAGUCAGUCCAAAGAUCAGCCGGUGCACAGACCCAGGAUUCAAAUAUUGGAUAAAGGAUCUGGGCUCAAACACAAGACUACAGUAUCAUAAAGUGCAACAUUUAUGACAGAAGAAGGAAGA
Callorhinus ursinus (northern fur seal) is the source of this 332-nucleotide long non-coding RNA. RefSeq lists it as uncharacterized. The record is from RefSeq and is a predicted model, not a curated record. NCBI's taxonomy places the organism in Eukaryota, Metazoa, Chordata, Mammalia, Carnivora, Otariidae.